RNAcentral lists this unclassified non-coding RNA (330 nucleotides) under uncultured Ophiostomataceae. Its description in RNAcentral is "sequence contains ITS1". The stretch from base 1 to 105 matches the Rfam family "5.8S ribosomal RNA", at positions 50 to 154 of the family's 154-position model. Lineage: Eukaryota; Fungi; Ascomycota; Sordariomycetes; Ophiostomatales. The record is from RNAcentral.
GAAAUGCGAUACGCAAUGCGAAUUGCAGAAUUCCGCGAGUCAUCAGAUCUUUGAACGCAGCCCGCGCCGGGAGGAUAUCCUCCCAGCAUGUUUGUUUCAGUGUGUUUGGUUGCCCUCACACAGCGCAGUGCGAUUGAGUCCUUUCUAUAUUGAAGGGGUUCUCUCGUGAAAGAGGAGCGUGGAGGCCGCGCCCUUCCAGCGAAGUGGUCACUGUUCACCAGUGAUUUCGUUGGGCUAACAAGGGUCGGCCAAAAACAAAAUCACACGCAUUAUCUUAACCAAAUCUACAAUCGGCACCUGAAAUCAAGCAAGACCACCCGCUGAACUUAA